GAUGAAGAACGCAGCGAAAUGCGAUAAGUAAUGUGAAUUGCAGAAUUCAGUGAAUCAUCGAAUCUUUGAACGCACAUUGCGCCCGCCAGUAUUCUGGCGGGCAUGCCUGUCUGAGCGUCAUUUCAACCCUCAUGCCCCUAGGGCGUGGUGUUGGGGAUCGGCCAAAGCCCGCGAGGGACGGCCGGCCCCUAAAUCUAGUGGCGGACCCGUCGUGGCCUCCUCUGCGAAGUAGUGAUAUUCCGCAUCGGAGAGCGAUGCCCCUGCCGUUAAACCCCCAACUUUCCAAGGUUGACCUCAGAUCAGGUAGGAAUACCCGCUGAACUUAAGCAUAUCAAUAAGCGGAGGA
This 346-nucleotide unclassified non-coding RNA is filed under the name soil metagenome. Its description in RNAcentral is "partial contains 5.8S ribosomal RNA, internal transcribed spacer 2, and large subunit ribosomal RNA". The stretch from base 1 to 120 matches the Rfam family "5.8S ribosomal RNA", at positions 35 to 154 of the family's 154-position model. The record is from RNAcentral.